AGAGUUUGAUCAUGGCUCAGAGUGAACGCUGGCGGUAGGCCUAACACAUGCAAGUCGAACGGCAGCACGGACUUCGGUCUGGUGGCGAGUGGCGGACGGGUGAGGAAUACAUAGGAAUCUGCCCAGUCGUGGGGGAUAACGUAGGGAAACUUACGCUAAUACCGCAUACGACCUACGGGUGAAAGUGGGGGACCGCAAGGCCUCACGCGAUUAGAUGAGCCGAUGUCCGAUUAGCUAGUUGGCGGGGUAAUGGCCCACCAAGGCGACGAUCGGUAGCUGGUCUGAGUGGACGACCAGCCACACUGGGACUGAGACACGGCCCAGACUCCUACGGGAGGCAGCAGUGGGGAAUUUUGGACAAUGGGCGCAAGCCUGAUCCAGCAAUGCCGCGUGCAGGAAGAAGGCCUUCGGGUUGUAAACUGCUUUUGUACGGAACGAAACGGUCCGGGUUAAUACCCUGGGCUAAUGACGGUACCGUAAGAAUAAGCACCGGCUAACUACGUGCCAGCAGCCGCGGUAAU
RNAcentral lists this ribosomal RNA (521 nucleotides) under uncultured bacterium. Its description in RNAcentral is "bacterial SSU rRNA". It matches the Rfam family "Bacterial small subunit ribosomal RNA", at positions 8 to 524 of the family's 1533-position model. The record is from RNAcentral.